CAGUAAUGUUGCGAUGAUCUGCUCUAGUUGUGUAAGAUAACCGCGGAAACCUGUGGCUAAGAGACUAGAAUGAGACGCAACCCUAUCAGUUUGUUGGUAGUGUAACGGACUACCAAGACUAUGACGGGUGACGGGAAAUCAGUGUUUGAUUCCGGAGAGGGAGCCUGAGAGAUGGCUCCCACGUCCAAGGAUGGCAGCAGGCGCGAAAAUUGUCCACUCUUUGUUGAGGAGACAGUUAUGAGGCGUGAUUGUAAGAGCGAAGAGUAAACAUCUUUGUGUAAUGCAACUAGAGGGCAAGUUUUGGUGCCAGCAGCCGCGGUAACUCCAACUCUAGAAGUGCCUAUUGUGGAUGCUGCAGUUAAAAAGUCCGUAGUCGUUGAUGCAAUUAAAAGGUGUAGAUCAAGUGCACCAAGUUUGUUAGUUGUGGCGGAGCGGACAGGGAGCAUGGUAUAGGUUGGCGAAGAAUGAAAUCUCAAGACCCAACCUGGACCAACUGAGGCGAAAGCGGUGCUCUUGUACGCGUCUGUGGAUCAAGGACGAAGGCUAGAGGAUCGAAAGUGAUUAGACACCGCUGUAGUUCUAGCAGUAAACUAUGCCGACAUUCUCUGUUGUUGAGACGGGGAGGGGAGAAAUCUUAGUUUUCGGGCUCUGGGGAUAGUACGCUUGCAAGAGUGAAACUUAAAGCGAAAUUGACGGAAGAUCACCACAAGGAGUGGAUUGUACUGCUUAAUUUGACUCAACACGGGAAAACUUACCAGGGCCAAGUCUCUCGUAGAUUGGCGACAUGAGAGGGGCAAGAGUGGUGCAUGGCCGUUGGAAAUUGAUGGGAUGACCUUUAGCUUAAGUGCUGUAACCAGUGAGAUCUUCUAGACAGGUGUCUUACUGACACAGGAAGGAGAAGGCUAUAACAGGUCCGUGAUGCCCUCAGAUGCCCUGGGCCGCAAGUGCAAUACAAUAUCCGUUUGAGCGACAUAAAUAUGCUUACGGAUGAGUAGGAUUAGCUCUUGUAAAUGAGCUAUGAAUGAGGAAUUCCUAGUAACUGUGUCUCAUCAAGGCACAGUGAAUGCGUCCCUGUUCUUUGUACACACCGCCCGUCACUAUUGCGGAUGGCAAUCAAGAUGAAGAGCCUAGGUUCUGAAUAUUGAUCGUUAGACAUAAUACAAG
RNAcentral lists this ribosomal RNA (1164 nucleotides) under Paranucleospora theridion. RNAcentral's name for it is "SSU rRNA". It matches the Rfam family "Microsporidia small subunit ribosomal RNA". Lineage: Eukaryota; Fungi; Microsporidia; Enterocytozoonidae. The record is from RNAcentral.